This 72-nucleotide transfer RNA is filed under the name Phrynosoma platyrhinos (Desert horned lizard). RNAcentral's name for it is "tRNA-OTHER". The record is from RNAcentral. Lineage: Eukaryota; Metazoa; Chordata; Lepidosauria; Squamata; Phrynosomatidae.
GGCAGCAUGGCAUGGUGGUUUAAGUGUUGGACUGUGACUCUAGAGACCAGGGUUUGAUUCCCAGCUUGGGCA